RNAcentral lists this microRNA precursor (113 nucleotides) under Brassica rapa (field mustard). RNAcentral describes it as "miR2111b stem-loop (bra-MIR2111b)". The record is from miRBase by way of RNAcentral. Lineage: Eukaryota; Viridiplantae; Streptophyta; Magnoliopsida; Brassicales; Brassicaceae.
GGUGAAGAACUGGUAAUCUGCAUCCUGAGGUUUAAAAAUUUAUAGGCAAUUAAAACAUGCAAAUGUGUGUAUGGUUUUUUAAUCCUCGGGAUACGGAUUACCUCUUCCUUACU